ACAGCCUUCUGAAGGAGCUUUUAGAAGAUGGCAUCAUGAGUCCGCAUGUUCACAUGAUUAACGGUAUUCCGGUAGACGAUGGGGAUGCGUUCCAUUAGAUAGUAGGCGGGGUAACGGCCCACCUAGUCUUCGAUGGAUAGGGGUUCUGAGAGGAAGGUCCCCCACAUUGGAACUGAGACACGGUCCAAACUCCUACGGGAGGCAGCAGUGAGGAAUAUUGGUCAAUGGGCGAGAGCCUGAACCAGCCAAGUAGCGUGAAGGAUGACUGCCCUAUGGGUUGUAAACUUCUUUUAUAAAGGAAUAAAGUCGGGUAUGGAUACCCGUUUGCAUGUACUUUAUGAAUAAGGAUCGGCUAACUCCGUGCCAGCAGCCGCGGUAAUACGGAGGAUCCGAGCGUUAUCCGGAUUUAUUGGGUUUAAAGGGAGCGUAGAUGGAUGUUUAAGUCAGUUGUGAAAGUUUGCGGCUCAACCGUAAAAUUGCAGUUGAUACUGGAUAUCUUGAGUGCAGUUGAGGCAGGCGGAAUUCGUGGUGUAGCGGUGAAAUGCUUAGAUAUCACGAAGAACUCCGAUUGCGAAGGCAGCCUGCUAAGCUGCAACUGACAUUGAGGCUCGAAAGUGUGGGUAUCAAACAGGAUUAGAUACCCUGGUAGUCCACACGGUAAACGAUGAAUACUCGCUGUUUGCGAUAUACUGCAAGCGGCCAAGCGAAAGCGUUAAGUAUUCCACCUGGGGAGUACGCCGGCAACGGUGAAACUCAAAGGAAUUGACGGGGGCCCGCACAAGCGGAGGAACAUGUGGUUUAAUUCGAUGAUACGCGAGGAACCUUACCCGGGCUUAAAUUGCAGAUGAAUUACGGUGAAAGCCGUAAGCCGCAAGGCAUCUGUGAAGGUGCUGCAUGGUUGUCGUCAGCUCGUGCCGUGAGGUGUCGGCUUAAGUGCCAUAACGAGCGCAACCCUUGUUGUCAGUUACUAACAGGUUCUGCUGAGGACUCUGACAAGACUGCCAUCGUAAGAUGUGAGGAAGGUGGGGAUGACGUCAAAUCAGCACGGCCCUUACGUCCGGGGCUACACACGUGUUACAAUGGGGGGUACAGAGGGCCGCUACCACGCGAGUGGAUGCCAAUCCCAAAAACCUCUCUCAGUUCGGACUGGAGUCUGCAACCCGACUCCACGAAGCUGGAUUCGCUAGUAAUCGCGCAUCAGCCACGGCGCGGUGAAUACGUUCCCGGGCCUUGUACACACCG
Molecule: ribosomal RNA, 1242 nt
Filed under: uncultured bacterium
Lineage: Bacteria
Description: bacterial SSU rRNA
Rfam family: Bacterial small subunit ribosomal RNA
Source: RNAcentral